UGUGAAAUAACUAAAAUAAAAUAGGAUAAUAAGUAUGCUUAGUCAAUUUGUAACGUGGUAUAAUAGAGGCAUCUGCAAUAAAAUAAGUCGGUUUCCAAGACCUGACAAGUGAGAGCAACUUAAUAUAACAUAUGUCUACAGUUUGCUGUCCUUUCCUUAUCAGAGGCCACUUGCAACACAGCAAGACAACUCUUCCGAAACCUGUAUUAAACAAAG
Pelobates cultripes (western spadefoot toad) is the source of this 216-nucleotide non-coding RNA. The record is from the annotation of a GenBank genome assembly. NCBI's taxonomy places the organism in Eukaryota, Metazoa, Chordata, Amphibia, Anura, Pelobatidae.